UACAGAGGGUGCAAGCGUUAAUCGGAAUUACUGGGCGUAAAGCGAGCGUAGUCGGUUAUUUAAGUCGGAUGUGAAAUCCCCGGGCUCAACCUGGGAAUUGCAUUCGAUACUGGAUAGCUAGAGUUCGGCAGAGGGAAGCGGAAUUUCUGGUGUAGCGGUGAAGUGCGUAGAUAUCAGAAGGAACAUCAGUGGCGAAAGCGGCUUCCUGGACCAGAACUGACGAUCAGGCUCGAAAGCGUGGGGAGCAAACAGG
Molecule: ribosomal RNA, 253 nt
Filed under: uncultured bacterium
Lineage: Bacteria
Description: partial 16S ribosomal RNA
Rfam family: Bacterial small subunit ribosomal RNA
Source: RNAcentral